Non-coding RNA from Camelina sativa (false flax), 251 nucleotides. The record is from RefSeq and is a predicted model, not a curated record. NCBI's taxonomy places the organism in Eukaryota, Viridiplantae, Streptophyta, Magnoliopsida, Brassicales, Brassicaceae.
AGUUAUAACCUGUGAUCAACUUUAAGUACUAUACGCUCGAACGUUCAACAAGCUCAUACCUGUCUUCUACGCUUUGCUUCCACACAGGUUAUAAUGCAUGCAUCAAGACUGGGCGAACUUCUGAUCUCUAGUGGUAAAACGGCAAGGAGUUUUCCACUGCGUAGGGCAUUCGUUUCAGCGUCACCAAGGCCCUUACAGGGAAAAGAAGAGGCAGAGCAAUGCCAAAAGGUGAAAGAAGCAGCAGAGGCAGU